GUCGGUGUGUCGCGCGGCAAGGUUCGACCCGUUCCCAUUCCGAACACGGUGGUCCCCCUUGCCUACGCUGGUGGUACUGAGGGCGCAGGCCCUUGGGAGGCCCAGGCCAUGCCGACA
This 117-nucleotide ribosomal RNA is filed under the name Bacillota bacterium. Lineage: Bacteria; Bacillati; Bacillota. The record is from RNAcentral.